CCCGCUGAACUUAAGCAUAUCAACAAGCGGAGGAAAAGAAACCAACAGGGAUUGCCCCAGUAACGGCGAGUGAAGCGGCAACAGCUCAGAUUUGAAAUCUGGCCCCCAGGGCCCGAGUUGUAAUCUGUAGAGGAUGCUUCUGGCAAGGCGCCGUCCGAGUUCCCUGGAACGGGACGCCGGAGAGGGUGAGAGCCCCGUACAGGCGGACGCCGAGCCUCUGUGAAGCUCCUUCGACGAGUCGAGUAGUUUGGGAAUGCUGCUCAAAGCGGGAGGUAAAUUUCUUCUAAAGCUAAAUACCGGCCAGAGACCGAUAGCGCACAAGUAGAGUGAUCGAAAGAUGAAAAGCACUUUGAAAAGAGGGUUAAAAAGCACGUGAAAUUGUUGAAAGGGAAGCGCCUGUGACCAGACUCGCGCCCGGCGGAUCAUCCGGCGUUCUCGCCGGUGCACUCCGCCGGGCUCGGGCCAGCAUCGGUUCUGGCGGGGGGAUAAAGGCGGCGGGGAUGUGGCUCCCCCGGGAGUGUUAUAGCCCGCCGCUCAAUGCCCCCGCCGGGACCGAGGACCGCGCAUUGCAAGGAUGCUGGCGUAAUGGUCACCAGCGACCCGUCUUGAAACACGG
RNAcentral lists this ribosomal RNA (616 nucleotides) under uncultured fungus. RNAcentral's name for it is "eukaryotic LSU rRNA". It matches the Rfam family "Eukaryotic large subunit ribosomal RNA", at positions 24 to 664 of the family's 3401-position model. Lineage: Eukaryota; Fungi. The record is from RNAcentral.